Ribosomal RNA from Mus spicilegus (steppe mouse), 120 nucleotides. The record is from Ensembl. Lineage: Eukaryota; Metazoa; Chordata; Mammalia; Rodentia; Muridae.
AGAAUAGUCUCUACUACCCUGAACGUGCCCAGCCUCGUUUGAGCUCACAAGCUAAGCAGGCUCAGGCUGGGCUAGCACUUGGGUAGGAGACUUACAUAUGUGUUCAGUCACAUUGCUUUA